CCUACGGGAGGCAGCAGUGGGGAAUAUUGCACAAUGGGGGAAACCCUGAUGCAGCGACGCCGCGUGAGUGAAGAAGUAUUUCGGUAUGUAAAGCCCUUUCAGCCGGGAAGAAAAUGACGGUACCUGACCAAGAAGCCCCGGCUAACUACGUGCCAGCAGCCGCGGUACUACGUAGGGGGCAAGCGUGAUCCGGAUUUACGGGGGGUAAAGGGAGCGUAGACGGCAGGGCAAGUCUGGAGUGAAAGGCGGGGGCUCAACCCCCGGACUGCUCUGGAAACUGCCAGGCUGGAGUGCAGGAGAGGUAAGUGGAAUGCCUAGUGUAGCGGUGAAAUGCGUAGAUAUUAGGAGGAACCCCAGUGGCGAAGGCGGCUUACUGGACUGUAACUGACGUUGAGGCUCGAAAGCGUGGGGAGCAAACAGGAUUAGAUACCCUAGUAGUC
This 440-nucleotide ribosomal RNA is filed under the name uncultured bacterium. RNAcentral's name for it is "partial 16S ribosomal RNA". It matches the Rfam family "Bacterial small subunit ribosomal RNA", at positions 338 to 795 of the family's 1533-position model. The record is from RNAcentral.